Molecule: long non-coding RNA, 262 nt
Organism: Amphimedon queenslandica
Lineage: Eukaryota; Metazoa; Porifera; Demospongiae; Haplosclerida; Niphatidae
Exons: 2
Source: RefSeq, a predicted model, not a curated record
AGAAUUGAGUUGUCUGAUAAGGAUUUUUAUAUAACCAAACUAGUGAAGGAAAAAGAAGAGAAAGUCCUGAAGCAAUCUAAAAGUACUAGUUCUAUUGGAUUGCAAUUUAAUUAUCUGAUUCCUUCAAUGAAUUCACUAGACUCUAGUGUCAUUAUAGCUGGACAGAAGCUCUUUACCCUGCAAGGAGACAGGUCUCACUCAUUCCAGUGGGAGAAAUAUGGAUUCAGAUUAGUGUGUCCUCAAGGAGCAGUGUCCAAGGAUA